GUGAGGAAUUUUCCGCAAUGGGCGAAAGCCUGACGGAGCAAUGCCGCGUGAAGGAUGAAGGCCUAUGGGUUGUAAACUUCUUUUCUCAGAAAAGAAUUAUGACGGUAUCUGAGGAAUAAGCAUCGGCUAACUCUGUGCCAGCAGCCGCGGUAAGACAGAGGAUGCAAGCGUUAUCCGGAAUGAUUGGGCGUAAAGCGUCUGUAGGUUGUUUAAAAAGUAUUCUGUCAAAGAUUAGGGCUUAACCCUAGAUAGGCAGAAUAAACUUUUAAGCUAGAGGUUGGUAGAGGCAAAGGGAAUGCCCGGUGGAGCAGUGAAAUGCGUAGAUAUCGGGAGGAACACCAAAGGCGAAGGCACUCUGCUGGGCCAAUACUAACACUGAGAGACGAAAGCGAGGGGAGCAAAUGGGAUUAGAAACCCCAGUAGUCC
This 426-nucleotide ribosomal RNA is filed under the name uncultured bacterium. RNAcentral describes it as "bacterial SSU rRNA". It matches the Rfam family "Bacterial small subunit ribosomal RNA", at positions 354 to 796 of the family's 1533-position model. The record is from RNAcentral.